This 778-nucleotide ribosomal RNA is filed under the name Psophocarpus tetragonolobus (winged bean). RNAcentral's name for it is "eukaryotic LSU rRNA". The stretch from base 322 to 477 matches the Rfam family "5.8S ribosomal RNA". The record is from RNAcentral. Lineage: Eukaryota; Viridiplantae; Streptophyta; Magnoliopsida; Fabales; Fabaceae.
AGUCUCGCCCGCCCAAACUGUUCUUAGGGAGUCAAAAGUUUUUUCUCUUCCCAACGGAUGACACGGAGAAAGAAUCAUUGUUGCCGCCUUAUAAUCAGUUUGACCGGCGAAUCUGUCUACCUACGAAGGGACGACACGUGCGUGGUGCUCCCCUUCUGUCGGGAGGGGGUUGGUCAUGGUUUGCACAGCCCAGCCUCUCUCUCUCGAUGAAACACAAACCCCGGCGCUUUGUGUGCCAAGGAAAUUGAAACUGUAAAGGGCGAUUCUUGGGGACCCGGAGACGGUGUCCUGCGGGUGUUGUCACGACACAUGAUGCAAAAUGACUCUCGGCAACGGAUAUCUCGGCUCUUGCAUCGAUGAAGAACGUAGCGAAAUGCGAUACUUGGUGUGAAUUGCAGAAUCCCGUGAACCAUCGAGUCUUUGAACGCAAGUUGCGCCCGAAGCCAUUAGGUUGAGGGCACGCCUGCCUGGGUGUCACACAUCGUUACCCUCCCUUAUAUACAUAUACAUGCAAAUGUCUCAUGAAGGACAACUGCUGUGUUGUGCUGGGAAGGUGUAUGCUGGCCUCCCGUGAUCGUUGUGUCACGGUUGGUUGAAAAAUUGAGUUCGUGGCAGAGUGUGUGCCGUGAUAAUAUGGUGGAUGAGUGCUGCUCGAGACCAAUUGCGUGCGUGCAUCUGCCAGUUUUGUACUCCAUGACCCAUUUUGUAUACUUCCCGGAGACGUUCAUAGCGAGACCUCAGGUCAGGCGGGGCUACCCGCUGAGUUUAAGCAUAUCAU